Cyprinus carpio (common carp) is the source of this 557-nucleotide long non-coding RNA. RefSeq lists it as uncharacterized. The transcript has 3 exons. The record is from RefSeq and is a predicted model, not a curated record. NCBI's taxonomy places the organism in Eukaryota, Metazoa, Chordata, Actinopteri, Cypriniformes, Cyprinidae.
CUUCACGUAUAUUUUCAGUCUUAGUGUUACAAGAGGGUGAUCUGGUGUAAUCAGCUGUUUGAGUAUAACUCUGGUCUAUUUGCUUUUGUUUUCUAGCUACUCGUUUUGAGACAAUCCGUAAACUGAACUCACUGCUGAAGGAAGGAGAAUCUACAGAGCUGACAAAGAGGGCCUCAGUGGCCCCCCAAAAAUAUGGGGACGAUUCAGAUUGCUCAACUGAUGUUGAAACUCAGUCUCAGCAAGCAAAGAAGUCAAAGGCUCCCAGGAGGAUAGACCCUGCAGAAGAGUUUCUUAGGCUAUACGGUCAAUCACAGCCUUCUUCAGAUAAUCACAACAGUCCGACUCAGACUGUGGCUGAAUUAAAGCAGGAGAUCAAGGACCUGAAAGAAGAGAACGCGAAGUUGAAGGAGAUUGUUCUUCAAGAUGUGCCAGAACUCCUACUGAGCUUGAGGAAUAUAAUAGAUUCGGCUGCACCUCCUAAGAGAUCCAGGGUGGAGCCUACCAAAGCAUUACCGGCCCUUCCAGGGUCUCCGCAGUCCAGGUCCAGUUCUCCAUGU